GACGAACCGUACGAACGUUAUUCGGAAUUACUGGGCUUAAAGGGUUUGUAGGCGGCCUUGUAAGUCAGGUGUGAAAUCCCUCGGCUCAACCGAGGAAUGGCGCUUGAUACUGCAAGGCUUGAGGGAGACAGGGGUAAGCGGAACUGAUGGUGGAGCGGUGAAAUGCGUUGAUAUCAUCAGGAACACCGGUGGCGAAAGCGGCUUACUGGGUCUCUUCUGACGCUGAGGAACGAAAGCUAGGGUAGCGAACGGG
RNAcentral lists this ribosomal RNA (253 nucleotides) under uncultured bacterium. Its description in RNAcentral is "partial 16S ribosomal RNA". It matches the Rfam family "Bacterial small subunit ribosomal RNA", at positions 524 to 776 of the family's 1533-position model. The record is from RNAcentral.